Molecule: unclassified non-coding RNA, 264 nt
Filed under: uncultured Chaetothyriales
Lineage: Eukaryota; Fungi; Ascomycota; Eurotiomycetes; Chaetothyriales
Description: sequence contains 5.8S rRNA gene
Rfam family: 5.8S ribosomal RNA (bases 1-53)
Source: RNAcentral
GAACGCACAUUGCGCCCUCUGGUAUUCCGGAGGGCAUGCCUGUUCGAGCGUCAUUAUCACCCCUCAAGCUCGGCUUGUUGUUGGAUGCAGCGCUUAUCCCGCUCCUCCCAAAGAUAAUGACGGCGUCUGCGACGACUCCUGUACACUGAGCUUUCGGGCACGUACACGGCUAGAAGUCCAGACCCGGUCGCCGUCCCCCCCGCGGGGACACCCAUUACCACAAGGUUGACCUCGGAUCAGGUAGGAAUACCCGCUGAACUUAAG